GAUGAACGCUGGCGGCGUGCCUAAUACAUGCAAGUCGAGCGAACAGACGAGGAGCUUGCUCCUCUGACGUUAGCGGCUGACGGGUGAGUAACACGUGGAUAACCUACCUAUAAGACUGGGAUAACUUCGGGAAACCGGAGCUAAUACCGGAUAACAUGUUGAACCGCAUGGUUCAACAGUGAAAGACGGUCUUGCUGUCCCUUAUAGAUGGAUCCGCUCCGCAUUAGCUAGUUGGUAAGGUAACGGCUUACCAAGGCAACGAUGCGUAGCCGACAGGAGGGGGUGAUCGGCCACACUGGAACUGAGACACGGUCCAGACUCCUACGGGAGGCAGCAGUAGGGAAUCUUCCGCAAUGGGCGGAAGCCUGACGGAGCAACGCCGCGUGAGUGAAGAAGGUCUUCGGAUCGUAAAACUCUGUUAUUAGGGAAGAACAAAUGUGUAAGUAACUAUGCACGUCUUGACGGUACCUAAUCAGAAAGCCACGGCUAACUACGUG
This 497-nucleotide ribosomal RNA is filed under the name uncultured bacterium. Its description in RNAcentral is "partial 16S ribosomal RNA". It matches the Rfam family "Bacterial small subunit ribosomal RNA", at positions 28 to 507 of the family's 1533-position model. The record is from RNAcentral.